GUAUAAAUCAAUAUGGAUGCCGUCUCGCUGUUUUUUGGACUGUAGAUUCGUUACAAACAAUUGUAAGCUGGAGCAAUGAUAUAAAUAUUUAUAUCUUCUUCCCAGUUAUGUUGGUUAGCAAGUCGGGUAGUACAUCAAUCGGUUUUCCGCUGAUUACUCAAGAGCGCUUGGGCCUAGAAUAAUUAAAGUUGAUAGGGAGGAUGGUCAUGACCAGCAGAUGACCUCUAUUGAUUUUGAGGCCAAGUUCCCCAAGAUAACCAUACAUUUGCUCCAAGAAAAUGAAAAGAAAAAGAGGUGUUCAAUAGUAUGCACUAUGCAAUGAAGUGCAAGUCAAUAGUUACUGAAGUCAGGUACCCUCAUAUUGCCGCAUUUCAGAAAGUGGUUCGCAAUAAACACCCUACUUUCGUUUUCAAGUAAACAGUUUGA
Mercenaria mercenaria is the source of this 426-nucleotide long non-coding RNA. RefSeq lists it as uncharacterized. NCBI's taxonomy places the organism in Eukaryota, Metazoa, Mollusca, Bivalvia, Venerida, Veneridae. The record is from RefSeq and is a predicted model, not a curated record. The transcript is spliced from 3 exons.